GCCCUUACUGCCCUAUGUCCUGUGCCCUUCUGGUCAUGUGCUUUCUUCUCAUUUCUAUAAGCUGUUUGGUGGCAUCUAGUUUGCUUUUGAAGGUAUAAUACAGUUUGAAAUUCAUCGUUGUCCUAGCUAUCUAAAUGUAUUUACCUUACUUUGAAUGAUAGCUAAAGACUGUUAGGAUUCUAAAGCCAAAUAUUUGAUAGAUUGAAAAGACAGAUUUAACCCAUGAGAAACAGAGAGCAUUUAGGGCUUUUGGUUUCUCGUAUUCACACAAGCCCUGUCAAAUUGUUUAUGUAAAUAAGACCUUUUAUGUGUGACAGUUGAAAUUUGUCGUUAACUCUGAAUGACCUAAAAAAUAGCAAUUCCAGUAAAUACUAACCAUUUUUUUCUAUUUCUAUUCAGAGCACUAAAACAAUGAGACUAUUCAAAUUAAAGCAUUCUCUACUCAUAUUUUUAUAUCCAUUCUAUCUCUUUCUCCAUCCUUCUCAACUUUCACCAAGUUCACAAGUAUAUAGAGCUCUUAUCCUCAGUGUCUAAGCCAAUGCCUGAUACUAUUACGUACCAUGUGCAUUAACUAUAAUUCCACUAAAAGAUCCAUUGUAAUAGUCAUAGAAUCUUAGAGUUUAAAGGACUCUUAGUGAUCUCCUCAUCCAGAUGAUUGUUUUACAGAUGAGAAAACUGAGGCCCCCUAAAUGAGAAGUGACUUUCCAAGGUGCCACAACUAAUGAGAAAAAGAACUGAGUUUCCCUGUGACCAACUCCAUUUACAUCACAUUCUACCACCCAGACCUGCCUCUAUAUACACAUACCACAGAGUUCUCCUGAAAAAAGAAAAGAGCAGAUAAAAGUGAAUUUUUGAAUAAGUGACCCCAAAAAGUCAGAUAAAAGUAAAAAAACAAAAGUAUAAAGCAUGUCAUCCCUCCCCUAUUUGCACCGACAUCUCUAACCACAGAUACACACACGCACACCAUAUGCAAAGAUAGUCACUGUAAUUGACUUCGGUUUUCACCUUAUAGUCAAUGUUAGAAGCAGGGGAUAACGUAAGCCCUGGUGGGAAGACCAUCCAUUGAGUUCUUUGUGAGUCAAAAUUCUUCAGCCCACAACAGUGAAAUGAAGCUUAUCAGAGUUAACAUCAGAGGGAGGUAAAAUAUUUCUGUGAUAUUCUUUGUAUGAAAUCUACACUUUGAAAUGGAUUAGUAACCUGUGAACAAUACAUAUUUUAGUUAAGAUAUAAAUUAUGUGAGCAAAGUGGUUUUUCAGUGUUUACUUUUCUUAUUUUAGUUUUGAACCUAUCUUAAAAUCACAGACUUGUAGAAGAAAUCUCUAAUGCAGUAUUUAUUAGGGGUUCACUCUUGCCCUAUUACAGCUUUAAUUAGUGACAUCCCAGUGCUGUUACAGCAUAGCAGUGUUUUAACAUGUAAUCUACUUGAGAUAACACAUUUGUAAAAUAAUUACUAGAAGGUAAACUUACGUUAAUGUCCUGUGUGGUUUCUACAAAGUGUCUCAUUAUAGACCUCUUGGCCACUAGAUAUUUUAUGAUAAAAAAAAAAAAAAUUAAGGAAGAAUAUACCGAGGGGAAAAAUGUAAAAGGAGAAGCCUGUUUCUGAAGAAUGGAUGUUACUGCCAUUACCAUGUCCUGGGAAUACCUAUGGAGCUCUGGUGCUAAGCCUGCCAAAAGACCCGGCAGCCCUCCAGCACAUGUUUAAUUCUCCAACCCAAUAAUGAUUGAUUUGUUAAAUCACUGAAAGAAUCAUCACUUUAAAAUAUUUCACCUGGAAGCCUUUUAAACAUUUCCAAAGCAAGGAUAAACAACAUCCCUUAUGCAAUGACCUGAUUUUUGUUGAUGAAAUGUAUUGCAUGAAGGACCCAUGCGGCUGCAUUGGCUGCUGUGGUUGUGUACUUCCGCCCUCUGGUGGAUUCUUUAGGAACAGCUUAAGUGUGUCUGGCAACCCUCAAUACAGUGGGCUUUGGAAGCCAAAAAGUGGGUCCUAGCACACCAAUACAGUGACUAGAAGGGUUUCCAUUUCUUACAAGACAUGAAUAUCAGAGUGAACAAACAUGUGGAUCUAGUGUUCUGAAAUGGUAUUUCAACUGCUAAGAAUUUUCACAUUUCUCUUAAAUGAGGAAAGAGAAAAUAAUUUUAUUAAAAGGAAAUUAAAAUAAUCUUUAACCCACUUAAACCCGUACCAGGAAUUUUAUUGUUCAUUAUAGCUCAAGGUUUUGCUUCUGAUUUUCUUUCUUACAAGCCACAUUUUCAACUUUAUUUCUAAAAUGAUAAAGAUGAUAAUCACUCAUUGUUCAUCAUUGUUGAUUUGAAACCUCUGCAAAUCAAGUGAAGAUGUUCAAAAAUAAUUCUUACAACUUGGUACAUAGAGGACCCACUACUUUUAAAUGAACAGAUUUUGAUUUUUCUAUAAAUGUUUUACAUAAACAUAAAUAUAAAACAAAAAAGCGUUUUGUGUUUUCCUGAAGGUUGCCCUUGAUCAAAAACCAUUCACAGUUAAAGCUUUUGAUAUGAUACUAAAAUUCUCCCAUUGACACAAUGUGAAUUUGGAUUUUGGGAAUUCUGCCUCCAGUUUGCAAAGAUAUUAAUAUAAAAUGUUAUGCAAAAUAUGAGAGUCUUCUCCCAAACCAUGCUAAGAUCAUUAUUGCCCUAGUUGAUGCCCUAGUACAUUUGCCGCGGGUGGAAGUUUUCUUUUUUUUUUUUUUUCUUUUUUGAUUGGGAUUAUUUUAACCAAGUAGUUAGACUUUUUCUUUUCUAUGUUAGGAAAGUGGCAAAACCACACACACUUACAAAAAUAGCAGCAUAAUAAUUCUUGGCAUUUCUCUGACAGGUUUAUUCUAAGUUACUGUAAGUGUUCUUAUAGACAUUAUCUCAUUAUUCUUCAAGAUGUUGCAGUUCUGUUAGUGGCAGGCAUGGUUAUUUGCAUUUUGCAGAUGGAAAAACUGAGGCUGUGUCUACACUGCAAAGUGGAAUACAUAAUUAACGGAACUACCCAGAUAAUUCUGGCUCACAGAUAUGACAGCUGAAAUAUUUGUGCAACUGAAGCAGAAAACAUUUGAGAAGUCUUUGUUCAUAGAAUUGGUGCCUUAGUGAAAUGCUUCAACUGAUCAGAACAAAGGCAACCCACAGAAUCCUUCCUUGAUUUAUUUCAUUACAUUGAAAGUACAGAGUAAGUAGAACAGGGGACAGUGUCCAGAUAUGGCCUAAUGAUGAGAAAUGUGUAAAUGUUACAUCAGAUUGUCACAUGACUUGGUGAAAGAUUGAUCAGUGUUUAGUGGCAUCUAUAUCUGCAUAAGCACAACAAAAUUUAUUCCAUUCAAUUCAGCAAACAUACCUUGAACCCGUAGUAUGUUCUGGGUUCCAGAGCCAGUAAUGAGAAUACAAAAGAGUUCAUAAUGAGGUGAAAACCAAAUAUUAUGCAGAGGAUGAAACAGUACCUGAGGGUCUGGGCAAAGCUAUUCAAGAGUGAAGGAGAGGGGACAAUGAAUUAUGCCUCCAGCAUGUGCACCAGGUGGUGGUUACGAAGGA
Long non-coding RNA from Cercocebus atys (sooty mangabey), 3528 nucleotides. RefSeq lists it as uncharacterized. The transcript is spliced from 2 exons. The record is from RefSeq and is a predicted model, not a curated record. Lineage: Eukaryota; Metazoa; Chordata; Mammalia; Primates; Cercopithecidae.